UCCUCUCUCUUCUCUUUCUCUCCUUAAUAAAUCUGGAGAUCAUCACUAAAAUUACACUCUGCCUGAAAACCACUCCUUUUACUCACUCACUUGAAAGCUAGUGGUUUUCCGUUGCCAUUCGUUCCGGUCCUAGCUAUAUACCGGAUCGAAUUUUCACAAACCAAGAAUUACAAAAAUCUUUUUCAUAGUCUAGCAAAUAAAGCGGUGUAUGUGUGGCGGCAACAAAAAAAAAAGAAAAGAGGUGUUGGUGAUAUUCUAAGUUAACCUAACAAUUUCCCUAUUUAAUUUGAGCCACAAAAUUCAGAUAUGUAUUUGACUAUCUUCUACAACCUCAAAAAUCAAUCAUAGCACACACCCAUUACCCAUACACAUACAAAAUAUUACAAAAUAGAAAUAAAACAAACGAACCCAACCACCCCACCUUCUAUCAGCGUGAAUAGAAAGACACCACACAGUAACGACACUAAGGGCUGAUGAAGCUUUAAAGUUCGUCGGAUAUUGGAUUCCAUAAAACCAAGAAAGCCUUCUUCGGUCUAAACCAUAUAUAACAACAAGAAUUGAUGGCAUUUGAUUUCUUUAUAAUCGAUCUAUCAUCAAGUUUCGAUCAUGAUUUCCCCGUUUAAAAAAUGAAAUAAGUGCCCAUAGCCUGUCUAGCAAUCGGAAGUCUUGCUAUCUCAACUAUCCCAUCUUCAAUACAAGUUUUUGAUGAUCCUCAUCAUGUGAGGUAUGCCUUCAUCCUUCAGAAAGAGGAGGUUGAGACUGAGACGGUUCGAGUUGUCAUCGUUGACAACAUGCUCGAGGUCAUUUAGAAGUCUAAAGAUCAGCCUCGACAGACCCUCAAAAGGAAGUUGCCCGAUAGAAGAUACACCGAUGCCGAGUGUAGAGCAUGGCUAGAUAAAGAUUCCAGAAUGUUCUUGGUGGUCGACUUCAAAUGGCACAAAUAAAAUGGUAUCAAAGUAGGUCUUUCUUUCUAUCUUGUUAUGAGUUAUUAAUAUGAUCAUCCAUUUUCAAAUGCUACACAAAAAUUUAGCACAAGUGUUUGAAGCAUUUAGGACUGUACUUAUGUGAAUAAAAAUUAUACCUUACAUACCUGUUAGCUUUAUAUUUUGUAGUGCGUGUUUUGUAUAUUAACAUUUGUCUUGUCCUUUAUGUUUAUUAAGAUUUGGUGAUGGUUUAUCAUGUAA
Erigeron canadensis is the source of this 1184-nucleotide long non-coding RNA. RefSeq lists it as uncharacterized. The record is from RefSeq and is a predicted model, not a curated record. The transcript is spliced from 5 exons. NCBI's taxonomy places the organism in Eukaryota, Viridiplantae, Streptophyta, Magnoliopsida, Asterales, Asteraceae.